RNAcentral lists this ribosomal RNA (312 nucleotides) under Triticum aestivum (bread wheat). Its description in RNAcentral is "partial small subunit ribosomal RNA". The record is from RNAcentral. Lineage: Eukaryota; Viridiplantae; Streptophyta; Magnoliopsida; Poales; Poaceae.
AUGGGAUCCGUCGCGGCUAGCUCUGCUCACCUCAGGGGCGCUGUGGCAUGCCCAACCGUGUCCUUGGCCGGCGGCAAGAUGGGAGCCAUCACGGCUAGUGGUGCCCGUCUCCAGCGCACCCAAGGCCAUGCCAAGGUUCUGUCCAGCCCGCUCCGUGGAGAUGGUGCCAUGGUGGAACUGCUGCACCGUCAGCCGAUGGCCGAGAUGCCGCGCAGUUGCACUAGAAGGUGCGAGCUUGAUGCAGACUCAACAGGAAAAGGAGCAAGAACAUACCUACAGACGAUGAAGUGCCAGGAGCUCCGUCCAUGCUGA